GAUCAACGCUGGCGGCGUGCUUAACACAUGCCAGUCGAACGAAGUUUUUCCUUCGGGUGACACUUAGUGGCGGACGGGUGCGUAACGCGGGGGUAACCUGCCCUGUACAGGGGGACAACAGCUGGAAACGGCUGCUAAUACCGCAUAAGCCCUUAGCACUGCAUGGUGCAUAGGGAAACGGAGCAAUCCGGUACAGGAUGGACCCGCGUCUGAUUAGCCAGUUGGCAGGGUAACGGCCUACCAAAGCGACGAUCAGUAGCCGAUCUGAGAGGAUGUACGGCCACAUUGGGACUGAGACACGGCCCAGACUCCCACGGGAGGCAGCAGUGGGGAAUAUUGCACAAUGGAGGAAACUCUGAUGCAGCGCCGCCGCGUGAGUGAAGAAGUAUUUCGGUAUGUAAAGCUCUAUCAGCAGGGAAGAAAAUGACGUUACCUGAAGAAGAAGCACCGGCUAACUCCGUG
RNAcentral lists this ribosomal RNA (462 nucleotides) under uncultured bacterium. Its description in RNAcentral is "partial 16S ribosomal RNA". It matches the Rfam family "Bacterial small subunit ribosomal RNA", at positions 28 to 507 of the family's 1533-position model. The record is from RNAcentral.